CUUGUACACACCGCCCGUCACACCAUGGGAGCUGGUUCUACCUUAAGCCGCCGCGCUAACCGCAAGGAAGCAAGCGUCCACGGUAGGGUUAGUGACUGGGGUG
RNAcentral lists this ribosomal RNA (103 nucleotides) under uncultured bacterium. RNAcentral describes it as "partial 16S ribosomal RNA". It matches the Rfam family "Bacterial small subunit ribosomal RNA", at positions 1380 to 1482 of the family's 1533-position model. The record is from RNAcentral.